UCCGUAGGUGAACCUGCGGAGGGAUCAUUGACU
Molecule: ribosomal RNA, 33 nt
Filed under: Fusarium culmorum
Lineage: Eukaryota; Fungi; Ascomycota; Sordariomycetes; Hypocreales; Nectriaceae
Description: partial 18S ribosomal RNA
Source: RNAcentral